Molecule: ribosomal RNA, 1099 nt
Filed under: Xylariaceae sp. genotype 394
Lineage: Eukaryota; Fungi; Ascomycota; Sordariomycetes; Xylariales; Xylariaceae
Description: eukaryotic LSU rRNA
Rfam family: Eukaryotic large subunit ribosomal RNA (bases 513-1099)
Source: RNAcentral
GGAUCAUUAGAGAGUAUAAAAACUCCCAACCCAUGUGAACAUACCUCUCGUUGCCUCGGCGGAGAGGGGACCUACCCGUUAACGGGCUACCCAGGUAGAGAUACCCGGGAGUGCCCGGGUGACCCCCCGCCGCCGCAGGCCCUCGAAACUCUGUUUUAUUUUGGAACUCUGAAUCUUAAAGCAAAUAAGUUAAAACUUUCAACAACGGAUCUCUUGGUUCUGGCAUCGAUGAAGAACGCAGCGAAAUGCGAUAAGUAAUGUGAAUUGCAGAAUUCAGUGAAUCAUCGAAUCUUUGAACGCACAUUGCGCCCAUUAGUAUUCUAGUGGGCAUGCCUGUUCGAGCGUCAUUAAGUCCAUUAAGCCCCUGUUGCUUAGCGUUGGGAGCCUGCUGCGCGCAAGCCUGCAGCUCCUCAAAAUGAGUGGCGGAGUCGGUAUACUCUAGGCGUAGUAACUUUCAACUCGCUUCUGCAGCUAUGCCGGCGCCCUGCCGUAAAACCCUUAAUUAAAUGGUUUGACCUCGGAUCAGGUAGGAAUACCCGCUGAACUUAAGCAUAUCAAUAAGCGGAGGAAAAGAAACCAACAGGGAUUGCCCUAGUAACGGCGAGUGAAGCGGCAACAGCUCAAAUUUGAAAUCUGGCUCUCGGGCCCGAGUUGUAAUUUGUAGAGGAUGUUUUUGGCGCGGUGCCUUCCGAGUUCCCUGGAACGGGACGCCUUAGAGGGUGAGAGCCCCGUACGGUUGGACGCUAAGCCUCUGUAAAACUCCUUCGACGAGUCGAGUAGUUUGGGAAUGCUGCUCUAAAUGGGAGGUAAAUUUCUUCUAAAGCUAAAUACCGGCCAGAGACCGAUAGCGCACAAGUAGAGUGAUCGAAAGAUGAAAAGCACUUUGAAAAGAGGGUUAAAUAGCACGUGAAAUUGUUGAAAGGGAAGCGUUUGCGACCAGACCUUUUCCUGGCGGAUCAUCCGGUGUUCUCACCGGUGCACUUCGCCUGGUUUAGGCCAGCAUCGGUUUCCGCGGGGGGAUAAAAGCUUGGGGAACGUAGCUCCCUCGGGAGUGUUAUAGCCCCUUGCAUAAUACCUUCGUGGGGACCGAGGACCGCGC